CGGAGACGCAUUAACUAUCUGCUGGAUUCAUGGCUGGCCUGGAUCACUGAAUAAAGCCACUGGAUCCGGGUGUGGCUGAUGAUU
Molecule: long non-coding RNA, 84 nt
Organism: Sinocyclocheilus grahami
Lineage: Eukaryota; Metazoa; Chordata; Actinopteri; Cypriniformes; Cyprinidae
Exons: 3
Source: RefSeq, a predicted model, not a curated record